RNAcentral lists this ribosomal RNA (253 nucleotides) under uncultured bacterium. RNAcentral's name for it is "partial 16S ribosomal RNA". It matches the Rfam family "Bacterial small subunit ribosomal RNA", at positions 524 to 776 of the family's 1533-position model. The record is from RNAcentral.
UACGGAGGGUGCUAGCGUUGUUCGGAAUUAUUGGGCGUAAAGAGCGUGUAGGCGGCCUCGUAAGUCAGAUGUGAAAGCCCUUGGCUUAACCAAGGAAGUGCAUUUGAAACUGCCUGGCUUGAGUACGGGAGGGGAAAGCGGAAUUCCCGGUGUAGAGGUGAAAUUCGUAGAUAUCGGGAGGAACACCGGUGGCGAAGGCGGCUUUCUGGACCGAUACUGACGCUGAGACGCGAAAGCGUGGGGAGCAAACAGG